UACAGAGGGUGCAAGCGUUAAUCGGAAUUACUGGGCGUAAAGCGUGCGUAGACGGUUAUGUAAGUCAGGUGUGAAAUCCCUCGGCUCAACCGAGGAAUGGCGCUUGAUACUGCAAGGCUUGAGGGAGACAGGGGUAAGCGGAACUGAUGGUGGAGCGGUGAAAUGCGUUGAUAUCAUCAGGAACACCGGUGGCGAAAGCGGCUUACUGGGUCUCUUCUGACGCUGAGGAACGAAAGCUAGGGUAGCGAACGGG
RNAcentral lists this ribosomal RNA (253 nucleotides) under uncultured bacterium. Its description in RNAcentral is "partial 16S ribosomal RNA". It matches the Rfam family "Bacterial small subunit ribosomal RNA", at positions 524 to 776 of the family's 1533-position model. The record is from RNAcentral.